This 986-nucleotide ribosomal RNA is filed under the name Caprella acanthogaster. RNAcentral describes it as "16S ribosomal RNA". The stretch from base 600 to 986 matches the Rfam family "Archaeal large subunit ribosomal RNA", at positions 2146 to 2776 of the family's 2987-position model. The record is from RNAcentral. Lineage: Eukaryota; Metazoa; Arthropoda; Malacostraca; Amphipoda; Caprellidae.
UAUUUACUGUAAAGGAGUAGUUAUUUUAAAGUGUUGAAUAGUUUUACCUUUUGUUUCAGGGUGGUUUGAAUAUUGUUUUACUUUUUUCUCGAGAGCUAUUGAUAGUGUAUUAUUUUAUUAGUUUGUGUCAAAACAUAGUUAUUUAUUCUAAGAGGUGAGAGUCUUUCGAUUUAGCUAAUAUCUAGAUUUAGUUAAAAAGAGUGAUAGAGGAGCUGUCACUGUAUUUUAGAAAAAAAACAAUUAAAUAACCUAGGCUUUAAAGUAGCUAUGUUAGUAAGGUGUUUUUACCAAAAAAGGUGCGAAUUUUCUGAAAUAAGUUUUUUUAAUAAAUUAUAAUUUAUGAUUUAUGAAUUAAUUAGUAGUAAGUUUAGUUAAAAAUUAAGAAACUAAGGUUUGCAAGGGAUGUUUAACAAAAACAUUUCUCUAUAUUUAUAGAGUACAGCCUGCCCAGUGCUUUGUAAACGGCUGCGGUAUACUAACUGUGCUAAGGUAGCAUAAUAAUUUGUGUUUUAAAUGGGUACUGGUAUAAAUGGCUUCACAUUGUUAAUUUUUCUUUUUUUUAAAAAAUGAAUUUAGAGUAAAAGUAAAAAUACUUUUAUGUACUAAAAAGACGAUAAGACCCUAAAAGCUUUAUAUUAAAGCCUAAUUAUUUUUAUAUAAUAUGGUUAUUGAUUUUUAACUGGGGUAGUUUUGUUUUUCUUAAACUAAUUAAAGACUAGUAAGGAUGUAUGACCCUUUAAUAAAGGUUUUGUUUAAGUUACUUUAGGGAUAACAGCGUUAUAAAAUUAAAGAGACCUUAUCUCCAAUUUUGAUUGCGACCUCGAUGUUGAAUUAAUAAAUCCAAGAGGGGUAGUCCCCUCAGAGGAAGGUUUGUUCAACCUUUAAUUUGUUACAUGAUUUGAGUUCAAACCGGUUUAAGCCAGGUUGGUUUCUAUCUUUUAGUGCCAAGAUUCUAUUUUAGUACGAAAGGACCAGAUAGAAUUUUU